Alosa sapidissima (American shad) is the source of this 94-nucleotide long non-coding RNA. RefSeq lists it as uncharacterized. NCBI's taxonomy places the organism in Eukaryota, Metazoa, Chordata, Actinopteri, Clupeiformes, Clupeidae. The transcript is spliced from 3 exons. The record is from RefSeq and is a predicted model, not a curated record.
CGAGGCUCAAUUCCAGCAUCAAGGCUAAAUUCAUCCAGGAUAACCCAAAAAAUCCCAGUUUAAUCCCUUAUCCAGGUUUUGUGAAAUACCCCUC